Long non-coding RNA from Lagopus muta (rock ptarmigan), 341 nucleotides. RefSeq lists it as uncharacterized. The transcript is spliced from 3 exons. Lineage: Eukaryota; Metazoa; Chordata; Aves; Galliformes; Phasianidae. The record is from RefSeq and is a predicted model, not a curated record.
CUGACAGCAAGAGCUCACCUUCCAGUCAGGAAUCUACUCAGAAUUGGAGUGAAAUGGAACUCGGGGACAUGGGAGGACACUGAAGGACAUAGGAAUGCUAGGAAGAAGGUUUCAUCAUCCAAGAGCUGACUGUGAGGAUGACAGCUUCCAAGAUGUCUCAAAAAGAGAACACCAAACUCUGUUCUUGGGCCUAUUGGGAGAGAAUUCUGACCUCUGCAGAGUGAAGGUACUGAGGUUCUUACCAGUGGUCCAGAUGGGAGCUCCAUUUCCAAUGAUCCUUUCUUUCCUAACGAAUUUUCAUCUCACAUUUGGAUUCUUUCUCCAAUGCCUGUCAGAAGAAG